CAGCCGCUGUGUGCCGGGCCACCAGGCACGGCUACAGGUCAACCGCGAGACAUGCUGAGCACUUAUGCAUCACCUCCUCACAGAGCUACAGAUACCCGACCCACACGUCCCUCAGCAGUCUUUCACACUUUUUUCAUGGAAAAUGAGAAGUGAGAAAUGGAGGCACAGAAGAAAAUGAAAGCACAGCAAAUGGAAAGAGAGGAGAAAGAUGAAACUCCUGGAAGGGCUGCUAAGGAUCAACAAGGGAAGCUAGUGGGUGGCUGCAUGGGUCUGAGCUGGUGGCUGGGCUUAAACCACAACUGCAUUUUUCAGUAUUAUGCUUCAAAUGAUCAGUAAUGGCAUGUGAACCUCUGGCCACUGAACAACUGAAAUCCAGCCAAAACAAGCAAUGAUUUGAAGUUACCUGGACAAACCUUGUCCCUAUGUAUUAUAAACUCUACAUUAAAUAUAUAAAAAAUACCCAACAAACAAAUCACCCCAUUUAUUACCACAAGUCACCUUUAUUUAUAGAAUCAGCAGAGAAGCCAAGUUCAUAUGGCACUGGGCACU
Molecule: long non-coding RNA, 549 nt
Organism: Pezoporus occidentalis (night parrot)
Lineage: Eukaryota; Metazoa; Chordata; Aves; Psittaciformes; Psittacidae
Exons: 3
Source: RefSeq, a predicted model, not a curated record